GGAGGUCACGGCGAGACGAGCCGUUUAUCAUUACGAUAGGUGUCAAGUGGAAGAUGGCCUUCAACAAAAAAAAGUGGAAGGUGGCCUUCAACAAAAAAAAAGUGGAAGGUGGCAGUAAUGUACGCAGCUGAGGCAUCCUAACAGACCGG
This 149-nucleotide ribosomal RNA is filed under the name Rhododendron kawakamii. Its description in RNAcentral is "4.5S ribosomal RNA". Lineage: Eukaryota; Viridiplantae; Streptophyta; Magnoliopsida; Ericales; Ericaceae. The record is from RNAcentral. RNAcentral also lists the same sequence under 1 other name.